UGUGGCCCAGAUGGGCUUUGUGGCAACUCCUCUACUCCUAUAGCCCGAAGCAGCCAUAUGCAGUUCCUAAAUGAAUGAGCAUGGCUGUGCUCCAAAAUUUACAAAAAUGCAAUGAGGUUUGGCCUGAGGUCUUGGCUUGCCAACCUCUGCCUCAGACAGCCUUAAAUAACGUGUAUUGUGACCCUCGCUGGUUCACUCUCAUAUACAGUCCUUUGGACGUGCUUACACAUCCUAUGCCCCAAUUAACCAGGGUGGUGAAAUAACUUCCCAAAUUUGGGCUGCCUAGGCCAGAAAUCACUUAGAUUUCUCAGGUGUCUUAGACAGCAAUCUACCCAGCCCUUCAAAUGGUAGGGACAUAUAUUAAGCUGUUCAACUCUCCUUAGAAUCCUUCUCUUUUGAGUUGGACAGAAGGUUUCAUGUAAGUUUUGGGGGCAGAUGAGGGGGUGAGGAGGAUGAGAC
This is a long non-coding RNA of Sapajus apella (tufted capuchin), 459 nucleotides long. RefSeq lists it as uncharacterized. The record is from RefSeq and is a predicted model, not a curated record. Lineage: Eukaryota; Metazoa; Chordata; Mammalia; Primates; Cebidae. The transcript has 3 exons.